RNAcentral lists this ribosomal RNA (456 nucleotides) under uncultured bacterium. Its description in RNAcentral is "bacterial SSU rRNA". It matches the Rfam family "Bacterial small subunit ribosomal RNA", at positions 29 to 479 of the family's 1533-position model. The record is from RNAcentral.
AUUGAACGCUGGCGGCAUGCCUUACACAUGCAAGUCGAACGGCAGCACGGGAGCAAUCCUGGUGGCGAGUGGCGAACGGGUGAGUAAUAUAUCGGAACGUGCCCAGUAGUGGGGGAUAACCCGGCGAAAGCCGGACUAAUACCGCAUACGACCUACGGGUGAAAGCAGGGGAUCGCAAGACCUUGCGCUAUCGGAGCGGCCGAUAUCAGAUUAGCUUGUUGGUGGGGUAAAAGCCCACCAAGGCGACGAUCUGUAGCUGGUCUGAGAGGACGACCAGCCACACUGGGACUGAGACACGGCCCAGACUCCUACGGGAGGCAGCAGUGGGGAAUUUUGGACAAUGGGCGCAAGCCUGAUCCAGCCAUGCCGCGUGCGGGAAGAAGGCCUUCGGUUGUAACCGCUUUGUCAGGGAAGAAACGGGACUCGGGCGUAAUACCUCGGGCUAAUGACGGUACC